Mauremys reevesii (Reeves's turtle) is the source of this 320-nucleotide long non-coding RNA. RefSeq lists it as uncharacterized. The transcript is spliced from 3 exons. NCBI's taxonomy places the organism in Eukaryota, Metazoa, Chordata, Testudines, Geoemydidae. The record is from RefSeq and is a predicted model, not a curated record.
AGGGGCUACUACUGCAUUUAGAAGACAUAUAGCAAUUCUUCUAAUGAAGGAGUCAGAAAGCGUGGAGGACUACUGCAUAUACUGCAACUGUAUCAACUGUGAAAAAGAAAAUGAGGAUUGCACGAUGGUCCAGUGUGAUUCUUGCAAGAGGUGGGCACAUAUACCCUGCAUUGCAGAAGGAACCAAUCAAGAAAACCUGAAAGAUGAGAAGAAAGAGUACAACUGCAAGAAAUGUGCAUAGUUCACUUCAUUACCCCCCAAAAAACCCCAAUAGAGAAACCCCUAGUUUAAAUGCCUCUUGUUCAAAACAUAAAACUAUA